This is a long non-coding RNA of Chroicocephalus ridibundus (black-headed gull), 1318 nucleotides long. RefSeq lists it as uncharacterized. The transcript has 3 exons. The record is from RefSeq and is a predicted model, not a curated record. Lineage: Eukaryota; Metazoa; Chordata; Aves; Charadriiformes; Laridae.
AGGUCCUUUUUAACUGCUCCUAGGUGCAGAUUCUCUAACAGAGAAGGAGGAGAUGCUCACAAAGCGAGACCUCUUUUUCCUCCUCUCUCCCACCAGUGGCACCACCCAAGAUGGCUGAAGCUGCUCCCAUCUUCCCUCGGAGCCAGCCUGCGUCGCCUCCGGUAUCUGCAGCUCUGGCAAGGUUUGGUUGCUUGGAGAAGCACAAAAGGGAAAGCAGCAGGGAAGGGAGAGGGUAAAAAGCUGCGUUCUGUUCCUAAAAACCAGCAACGUAGUCAGAGGAGAGCUCUAGAAGAUUAAAGCACUGCAGGAACCUGGUGCGGAGGAGUCCUUUGCCACCCACGGCGCGAGCGGCUCGGUCCCUUUCCCACGUGGAGCAUCUUGUUUGUGCUGAGAGGUCUGAGCCGUGGCCGCAGCACGGGGCACGGCCAGGGGCUGCAGGGCGAUGGGGAGGAGAAGAUGCGCGGGGAAGGAGACACCAAGAUUCAGUGACAGCAGAGAUUGCAAGGACUUGAACCCAGAGCCAUCCUACGGGACUCAAAUCCAUUCAUCUGUCUUUCCCCUCUUUCAUGAAGUUUAAAAGGCUUCAAAGAUUUGCUACUGAAUUCCUCCGUCUGCAGGGAUGAGAAACAGUCAUCGCAUGGAAGAGCGAGUGGUCGGGACCUUUGGUAUCCAGCUGUAAGACAUCUUCCUACAGUGCUCAUGGUUCAUGUUCAGGAAUGACUUUUUGACUCUUAACCACUAUAUUUAAAGAUUUGCUGGGCAGUAGAUGUGACUGAUAUUUAUAUGAAAUUAAUCCCCCUGUGCAGGAGGCUCUGCGCUCUCAGGUCGAAACGUGGUUUUGGUAGAGUUAAUUGGAGAACGAGUAUUUACUUUCAGCUCGGGUUUUUGCUUCCUUGGCUUCAGUUCGUAAGUGUUGAAGGUUUCACCUUCCCAAUGCAAAAAUAAAAGGAAAACAACGAGAUCCUAAAUGGCUCGCUUAUAACAAGCUGAAUGGAGCUUUAUAGAAAAUACAAAUACUUCGGGAGAAAAAAACAGAACCUGCAGCUGAAAAACAAGGUCUGCGGGGCUGCGGAGGAGAACCGCCCCGCCGUGCCGGGCAUUCCUCCGGCGCUGCAUUCCCAAGCACAAGAAAAAGUAAAAAAGACGUUUAAUUGACCGAAGUCCUGAUUGUCUUUUCAGACACCCUUCUUGAUGUGGUUAGAGAUUGGAACCCUUUUGGAAAGCAACCUGACAUUUCAUAGCUUAGAUAUUUCCUCCAUUGCUUUUGACUUUCAGGCCUCAGUUAUUUCCACCAGGCAAGCGUUUGCCAAGCUGAUGA